UACGUAGGGACCAAGCGUUGUUCGGAUUUACUGGGCGUAAAGGGCGCGUAGGCGGCGAAUCAAGUCAGCUGUGAAAUCUCCGAGCUUAACUCGGAACGGUCAGCUGAUACUGUUUUGCUAGAGUGCAGAAAGGGCAACCGGAAUUCUUGGUGUAGCGGUGAAAUGCGUAGAUAUCUGGAGGAAUACCGGUGGCGAAGGCGGCAUCCUGGACCGACAUUGACGCUGAGGAGCGAAAGCCAGGGGAGCAAACAGG
RNAcentral lists this ribosomal RNA (253 nucleotides) under uncultured bacterium. Its description in RNAcentral is "partial 16S ribosomal RNA". It matches the Rfam family "Bacterial small subunit ribosomal RNA", at positions 524 to 776 of the family's 1533-position model. The record is from RNAcentral.